This 859-nucleotide ribosomal RNA is filed under the name uncultured Chloroflexota bacterium. Its description in RNAcentral is "bacterial SSU rRNA". It matches the Rfam family "Bacterial small subunit ribosomal RNA", at positions 38 to 916 of the family's 1533-position model. The record is from RNAcentral. Lineage: Bacteria; Bacillati; Chloroflexota.
CCUGCCGGGUCUAGACUGCAGUCGAACGAAGAAUUUAGCAAUAAGUUCUUAGUGGCGAAUGGGUGCGUAACACGUAGGUGACCUGCCCUGAAGUGUGGAAUAACAGUUCGAAAGGACUGCUAAUACCGCAUGUGGUUGCGGAGGUUAGAGGCUCUGCAUCUAAAGUCGCAAGACGCUUCAGGAGGGGCCUGCGGCCCAUCAGCUAGUUGGUAGGGUAAUGGCCUACCAAGGCUACGACGGGUAGGGGACCUGAGAGGGUGACCCCCCACAUUGGCACUGACACACGGGCCAAACUCCUAGGGGAGGCAGCAGUCGGGAAUAUUGCUCAAUGGGCGAAAGCCUGAAGCAGCAACGCCGCGUGCGCGAUGAAGGCCUUCGGGUUGUAAAGCGCUUUUCGGGAGGAUGAGGAAGGACGGUACUCCCGGAAUAAGGUACGGCUAACUACGUGCCAGCAGCCGCGGUAAAACGUAGGUACCGAGCGUUAUCCGGAUUUACUGGGCGUAAAGCGCGUUCAGGCGGUCUGGCAAGUCGGGCAUGAAAUCUCUCGGCUCAACCGGGAGAGGUUGUUCGAUACUUUCAGACUUGAGGGCAGUAGAGGGUGGUGGAAUUCCGCAUGUAGUGGUGAAAUGCGUAGAUAUGCGGAGGAACACCAGUGGCGAAGGCGGCCACCUGGACUGCACCUGACGCUCAAACGCGAAAGCUAGGGGAGCGAACGGGAUUAGAAACCCCGGUAGUCCUAGCCGUAAACGAUGUUGACUGGGUGUCGGAGGCUUAAAAAACUUUCGGUGCCGUAGCAAACGCGUUAAGUCAACCGCCUGGGGACUACGGCCGCAAGGUUAAAACUCAAAGGAAUUGACGG